Molecule: ribosomal RNA, 468 nt
Filed under: uncultured bacterium
Lineage: Bacteria
Description: partial 16S ribosomal RNA
Rfam family: Bacterial small subunit ribosomal RNA
Source: RNAcentral
GACGAACGCUGGCGGCGUGCUUAACACAUGCAAGUCGAACGGAAAGGCCCUGCUUUUGUGGGGUGCUCGAGUGGCGAACGGGUGAGUAACACGUGAGUAACCUGCCCUUGUCUUUGGGAUAACUUCAGGAAACUGGGGCUCAUACCGGAUAGGAGCUCCUGCUGCAUGGUGGGGGUUGGAAAGUUUCGGCGGUUGGGGAUGGACUCGCGGCUUAUCAGCUUGUUGGUGGGGUAGUGGCUUACCAAGGCUUUGACGGGUAGCCGGCCUGAGAGGGUGACCGGCCACAUUGGGACUGAGAGAGGGCCCAGAAUCCUACGGGAGGCAGCAGUGGGGAAUAUUGCACAAUGAGCGGAAGCCUGAUGCAGCAGCGCCGCGUGCGGGAUGACGGCCUUCGGGGUGUAAACCGCUUUCGCCUGUGACGAAGCGGGAGUGACGGUAAUGGGUAAAGAAGCACCGGCUAACUACGUG